GUAGAGGUUGUUGUGUUAGUAUUUCCAUGGGUAGUGUUAUGAGCCAAGUGAUAGUUUGACAAGGCUUUGGUAGAGGUUGUUGUGUUAGUAUUUCCAUGGGUAGUGUUAUGAGCCUAGUGAUAGUUUGACAAGGCUUUGGUAGAGGUUGUUGUGUUAGUAUUUCCAUGGGUAGUGUUAUGAGCCUAGUGAUAGUUUGACAAGGCUUUGGUAGAGGUUGUUGUGUUAGUAUUUCCAUGGGUAGUGUUAUGAGCCUAGUGAUAGUUUGACAAGGUUUUGGUAGAGGUUGUUGUGUUAGUAUUUCCAUGGGUAGUGUUAUGAGCCUAGUGAUAGUUUGACAAGGCUUUGGUAGAGGUUGUUGUGUUAGUAUUUCCAUGGGUAGUGUUAUGAGCCUAGUGAUAGUUUGACAAGACUUUGGUAGAGGUUGUUG
Eriocheir sinensis (Chinese mitten crab) is the source of this 427-nucleotide long non-coding RNA. RefSeq lists it as uncharacterized. The transcript is spliced from 3 exons. The record is from RefSeq and is a predicted model, not a curated record. Lineage: Eukaryota; Metazoa; Arthropoda; Malacostraca; Decapoda; Varunidae.